GACGAACGCUGGCGGCGUGCCUAAUACAUGCAAGUUGAGCGCUGAAGGUUGGUACUUGUACCAACUGGAUGAGCAGCGAACGGGUGAGUAACGCGUGGGGAAUCUGCCUUUGAGCGGGGGACAACAUUUGGAAACGAAUGCUAAUACCGCAUAAAAACUUUAAACACAAGUUUUAAGUUUGAAAGAUGCAAUUGCAUCACUCAAAGAUGAUCCCGCGUUGUAUUAGCUAGUUGGUGAGGUAAAGGCUCACCAAGGCGAUGAUACAUAGCCGACCUGAGAGGGUGAUCGGCCACAUUGGGACUGAGACACGGCCCUAACGCCUACGGGAGGCAGCAGUAGGGAAUCUUCGGCAAUGGACGAAAGUCUGACCGAGCAACGCCGCGUGAGUGAAGAAGGUUUUCGGAUCGUAAAACUCUGUUGGUAGAGAAGAACGUUGGUGAGAGUGGAAAGCUCAUCAAGUGACGGUAACUACACAGAAAGGGACGGCUAACUACGUG
RNAcentral lists this ribosomal RNA (497 nucleotides) under uncultured bacterium. Its description in RNAcentral is "partial 16S ribosomal RNA". It matches the Rfam family "Bacterial small subunit ribosomal RNA", at positions 28 to 507 of the family's 1533-position model. The record is from RNAcentral.